RNAcentral lists this long non-coding RNA (719 nucleotides) under Piliocolobus tephrosceles (Ugandan red Colobus). Its description in RNAcentral is "lncRNA (ENSPTEG00000039078.1)". The record is from RNAcentral. Lineage: Eukaryota; Metazoa; Chordata; Mammalia; Primates; Cercopithecidae.
CGCAUGGCCAUCCCCGUGAGCUUCCCGGCGCCCCGCCUCGCCCUCUUCUCUAAUUUAGAUUGGUGGCGGCAGGGAGACAUGAGACGUCAGUCAACAUAUGUAAGAGGAACGAUGGAUUGGUCCGGAAAGGUCUCCUUUGAAUCUCAUCAGGGUUCACUCCAUUAGACAAAAGUGCUACCUACAAAUCCCUUUGAGUACCCUGGAUUUGAUAUUUGCUUGGAAAGUAUUAGUAUUUCUUAGUUUUACACCCUUUGCAAUCAGACGAAGCUGAGAACUUUAAAAAUCAUCCAAGUAGUCAAGGUCCGUCCUUUUUGUGUUUCGUCUUGCUUAUCUCAUUUAUUUUACUAUAAACAAACAAACAAAAAAUGGACAGAAGGGAGAGACUUUCAUGGGUGUUGGACAUGUCCUACCAGUUGGUAUGGAUAGAAUAUGCAUGGUUGUAUGGAUGUGUACAAAGUCAUCAAUGUGCACAUUUAAAAUAUAUGCACUGUAUUGUAUUCCUGCUACACCUUCGCUAAAAAAAAAAAAAAGUUGAAUGUGAGCGCGGGCGUGAGAAAACCGCAGCGCGCAUGCGUGAGCGUGAACGCGCUGAGAGGCCGGAAACAAAGGUGGGUGCGCGUGCACAGACGCGCUCGCUGGCCGCCGGAAGCAAAGGCGAGAGCGCGCGUGCGUGCGUGUGCGUGAGCGCGAGCGCGCGGAGGUCGGAAGCGGGCGCUGUA